This is a long non-coding RNA of Olea europaea var. sylvestris, 1366 nucleotides long. RefSeq lists it as uncharacterized. Lineage: Eukaryota; Viridiplantae; Streptophyta; Magnoliopsida; Lamiales; Oleaceae. The transcript is spliced from 3 exons. The record is from RefSeq and is a predicted model, not a curated record.
UAUUAGAUCUAGACAUUAAGACUACACUCCGCGUUUUGCGCUUGGUCCUUGUUCAACAUAAGUGUGAGGAGUUCUACAUAGUUUUCAAACCCCAAUUUCCAUGGCAUAGAGAACAUUCUUAUGAGUGACUGUCUUGCAAUGUUCUCAUUUUCUUUAGAAGCUAUGAUGCUGAUGUAUUCAAAGGCACAUUUUUGUAUUAUUUCUUUUGCAUUAUCAGGAUUUUUUCCUUUGCUUGGGAUCAGGCGCUGAGCCUGUACCCGACGAGGGGGCGCAGUUGCCCGUACUGGCUCCGUCGAAGUCUUGAGAACCGUCGAGUAGCAAAUGGGAAAGUUGCAGAGCCGAUCAGAGAAGAGACUAAAGAUGAGACGAAGAUGACAGAAUGAAGACAAGAUCCCUUUUCUUCUUCUUCUUCCAAUUUUUUUUUUUUUUUUUUUUUUUUUUUUUUGGUUUGGGCCGAAUUGCUGGGCUGAAGCUUAUUGAUUAAGGUUAUUUUUUGCCCAAUUUUGAUUAGCACAAAUGUCCAAUACCAUUAAUAAUUGGAAUUGGAUCAACCAAAGUCCCAAACCACUAAGAUGACUACUGACUGCUGAAGCCUGAAAGCGUGAAAGUCUUAAACCACAAAGGCAGAGGGCAGGGGUGAAACGCGAAAUAGAGAAAUUUCCAAAUCCAAUCCCCAAAUCGUGAAAGAGAAAGCCAAACCCUUUUCUACUUUUCCUCAUUUCUUAACUCUCCAAUCCACACGGCGUACUCCAUUCCAAUCUAUAAUUCCAAUUUCAAUUCGAAUUCGAAGAAGAGGGAACAACACAAAUUCAUUGGAGUUUGGACAUUUGAUGCAAUUUCGAAAUCUCUGCUUUCGAAAAAUUCGCUCAUCUAUUACUAUUAGCCUGUAUGCUGAUUGCUAAAUUGCUGAUGCUGCACGAGUGCACUGCCUGCACAGAUGUGAGACAAUGUGUUUUACAACUUCUGUUGCCGACUAUCGAGCCAAGGAGUACCCUAAGUCUCUCUGUCAACGGCAGUUCGUGCUUACUCAAAAUCUUGGAUCUACCAUUGAUGGAAAUCUGAGAUGCCUCAGAAGUAUGGAUGAAGUAAUGAAGAAGGAUAGUUGUGGAGAUGAUGUGGUGAUGGAGGGUUCUUUGAAGUUGUCGGAGACGUUAGCAGGCUCGACGGUGCUAGUAGUUCUAGUAGAGCGAAGGAGGUGGCGGUCGUGAAUUGUGGGGAUUCUAGAGCAGUUAUUUGCUCCGGUGGUGUUGCAAUGCCAUUGUCAAGUGAUUAUAAGGUGACAUAUCCUUUUUUUUCUUCGUAAAAUAUGUAAUUUAUAGUUUUAUAACGAGGUUUUGUAUGCCCAUGUAUGCUUUAUUUAUAAAAA